This is a non-coding RNA of Brachypodium distachyon (stiff brome), 99 nucleotides long. The record is from Rfam. NCBI's taxonomy places the organism in Eukaryota, Viridiplantae, Streptophyta, Magnoliopsida, Poales, Poaceae.
AACAUACUCCCUCCGUCCAACAAAAGAUGUCUCAACUUUGACUAAAUCUCAAAUUUAGUCAAAGUUGAGACAUCUUUUGUUAGACGGAGGGAGUACACG